AGGUGAAGUAGUCAGUUAUCUGUUCAUUUUUUUCACUCAAAAAUAUUUGAGAGCCAACCAUGUGCCUGUAUUGUCCUUGGCAUUGAGGAUACAACUGUGAAACAAGGAGAUACGUGGUUGACAGAUUGUUCAAUUGAAUGAUGGCUAGAUAAGGCUACUUUAGAUAGUAGUAAGGACUAAGGAAAAAUAAAAUUGAAAAAUGGGAUAGAAAGAGAUUG
This is a long non-coding RNA of Myotis brandtii (Brandt's bat), 218 nucleotides long. RefSeq lists it as uncharacterized. The record is from RefSeq and is a predicted model, not a curated record. The transcript has 3 exons. NCBI's taxonomy places the organism in Eukaryota, Metazoa, Chordata, Mammalia, Chiroptera, Vespertilionidae.